This 468-nucleotide ribosomal RNA is filed under the name uncultured bacterium. RNAcentral describes it as "partial 16S ribosomal RNA". It matches the Rfam family "Bacterial small subunit ribosomal RNA", at positions 28 to 507 of the family's 1533-position model. The record is from RNAcentral.
GAUGAACGCUGGCGGCGUGCUUAACACAUGCAAGUCGAAGGGAAAGGCGCUGCUAUUGAGGCGGUCUCGAGUGGCGAACGAAUGGGUAAGAAGCGAGUAACCUGCCCUUGACGUACUGAGAACUACAGGGAACUGGGGCUAAUACAGGAUAGGAACUCCUGCUGCAUGGUGGGGGUUGGUAAGUUACGGCGGUGGGGGAUGGACUCGCGGCUUAUCAGCUUGUUGGUGGGGUAGUGGCUUACCAAGGCUUUGACGGGUAGCCGGCCUGAGAGGGUGACCGGCCACAUUGGGACUGAGAUACGGCCCAGACUCCUACGGGAGGCAGCAGUGGGGAGUAUUGCACAAUGCGCGGAAGCCUGAUGCAGCAACGCCGCGUGCGGGAUUAUGGCCUUCGGGUUGUAAACCGCUUUCGCCUGUGACGAAGCGUGAGUGACGGUAAUGGGUAAAGAAGCACCGGCUAACUACGUG